RNAcentral lists this ribosomal RNA (920 nucleotides) under Shigella sonnei. RNAcentral describes it as "partial 23S ribosomal RNA". It matches the Rfam family "Bacterial large subunit ribosomal RNA", at positions 1 to 962 of the family's 2925-position model. The record is from RNAcentral. Lineage: Bacteria; Pseudomonadati; Pseudomonadota; Gammaproteobacteria; Enterobacterales; Enterobacteriaceae.
GGUUAAGCGACUAAGCGUACACGGUGGAUGCCCUGGCAGUCAGAGGCGAUGAAGGACGUGCUAAUCUGCGAUAAGCGUCGGUAAGGUGAUAUGAACCGUUAUAACCGGCGAUUUCCGAAUGGGGAAACCCAGUGUGAUUCGUCACACUAUCAUUAACUGAAUCCAUAGGUUAAUGAGGCGAACCGGGGGAACUGAAACAUCUAAGUACCCCGAGGAAAAGAAAUCAACCGAGAUUCCCCCAGUAGCGGCGAGCGAACGGGGAGCAGCCCAGAGCCUGAAUCAGUGUGUGUGUUAGUGGAAGCGUCUGGAAAGGCGCGCGAUACAGGGUGACAGCCCCGUACACAAAAAUGCACAUAUUGUGAGCUCGAUGAGUAGGGCGGGACACGUGGUAUCCUGUCUGAAUAUGGGGGGCCCAUCCUCCAAGGCUAAAUACUCCUGACUGACCGAUAGUGAACCAGUACCGUGAGGGAAAGGCGAAAAGAACCCCGGCGAGGGGAGUGAAAAAGAACCUGAAACCGUGUACGUACAAGCAGUGGGAGCACGCUUAGGCGUGUGACUGCGUACCUUUUGUAUAAUGGGUCAGCGACUUAUAUUCUGUAGCAAGGUUAACCGAAUAGGGGAGCCGAAGGGAAACCGAGUCUUAACUGGGCGUUAAGUUGCAGGGUAUAGACCCGAAACCCGGUGAUCUAGCCAUGGGCAGGUUGAAGGUUGGGUAACACUAACUGGAGGACCGAACCGACUAAUGUUGAAAAAUUAGCGGAUGACUUGUGGCUGGGGGUGAAAGGCCAAUCAAACCGGGAGAUAGCUGGUUCUCCCCGAAAGCUAUUUAGGUAGCGCCUCGUGAAUUCAUCUCCGGGGGUAGAGCACUGUUUCGGCAAGGGGGUCAUCCCGACUUACCAACCCGAUGCAAACUGCGAAUA